CCAGUAACGGCGAGUGAAGCGGCAACAGCUCAAAUUUGAAAUCUGGCCCCCUCGGGGCCCGAGUUGUAAUUUGCAGAGGGAGCUUUUGGCGUCGGUCGUGGUCUAAGUUCCUUGGAACAGGACGUCACAGAGGGUGAGAAUCCCGUACGUGGCCGCCGGCCUUCGCCUUGUAAAGCCCCUUCGACGAGUCGAGUUGUUUGGGAAUGCAGCUCUAAAUGGGAGGUAAAUUCCUUCUAAAGCUAAAUACCCGCCAGAGACCGAUAGCGCACAAGUAGAGUGAUCGAAAGAUGAAAAGCACUUUGGAAAGAGAGUGAAAAAGCACGUGAAAUUGUUGAAAGGGAAGCGCUUGCGGCUAGACGUGCCCGCGGUUGAUCAUCCAGGCUCCGGCCUGGUGCACUCCUCCGCGGGCAGGCCAGCAUCAGUUCGGGCGGUCGGAUAAAGGCCUCUGUCACGUACCACCCCUCGGGGUGGCCUUAUAGGGGAGGCGCAACACGGCCAGCCCGGACUGAGGUUCCGCGCAUCUGCUAGGAUGCUGGCGUAAUAGCAGCAAGCGGCCCGUCUUGAAACACGGACCAAGGAGUCUAACAUCUAUGCGAGUGUUUGGGUGUCAAGCCCGAGCGCGCAAUGAAAGUGAACGGAGGUGGGAACCCUCACGGGUGCACCAUCGACCGAUCCUGAUGUCUUCGGAUGGAUUUGAGUAAGAGCAUAGCUGUUGGGACCCGAAAGAUGGUGAACUAUGCCUGAAUAGGGUGAAGCCAGAGGAAACUCUGGUGGAGGCUCGCAGCGGUUCUGACGUGCAAAUCGAUCGUCAAAUUUGGGCAUAGGGGCGAAAGACUAAUCGAACCUCUAGAACUGGUCC
RNAcentral lists this ribosomal RNA (859 nucleotides) under Torula sp. RNAcentral describes it as "partial large subunit ribosomal RNA". It matches the Rfam family "Eukaryotic large subunit ribosomal RNA", at positions 80 to 957 of the family's 3401-position model. Lineage: Eukaryota; Fungi; Ascomycota; Dothideomycetes; Pleosporales; Torulaceae. The record is from RNAcentral.